AGGUGGAUUUCUGCUCUCCCCCUGCUAGAGAGCAAUCCAACACUGAUGGUCUCAACAGAUAGACUAAGUCUGGCGGCUGAUGGGAACUGUGUAUGCCAAUAAGUAAGAGCAUGAGACCUGAAAGAAGCACAUUUCACUCAUGCUCUGCCACUUUUUCUGAUGAACACCGAAGACAUGCCUGUGGUGGCACAAUCUGAAGGGUGAAGAAGACAGGCACUAGCAGAUUGGAUGAGACCAAGAGUGGAUCCAACGGUCAAGAAGGCAAUUUCUGCACAUGCUGUGAGUGAUAUAAUUCCAACACAAAAAGCUAUGGUUGGACCAUAAAGAAGGCUGAUCGCCGAAGAAUUGAUGCUUUUGAAUUAUGGUGCUGGAGGAGACUCUUGAGAGUCCCAUGGACUGC
Molecule: long non-coding RNA, 400 nt
Organism: Podarcis muralis (Common wall lizard)
Lineage: Eukaryota; Metazoa; Chordata; Lepidosauria; Squamata; Lacertidae
Source: RefSeq, a predicted model, not a curated record